GCAACGCGAAGAACUUACCAGGUCUUGACAUCCCACGAAUUCAUCUGAAAGGAUGGAGUGCUUCGGGAGCGUGGAGACAGGUGGUGCAUGGUUGUCGUCAGCUCGUGUCGUGAGAUGUGGGUUAAGUCCCGCAACGAGCGCAACCCUUGCUAUUAGUUGCUAACAGGCAGAGCUGAGCACUCUAAUGGGACUGCCGGUGACAAGCCGGAGGAAGGUGGGGAUGACGUCAAAUCAUCAUGCCCUUUAUGACCUGGGCUACACACGUGCUACAAUGGAUGGUACAGAGAGCAGCGAGGCAGCGAUGUGGAGCGAAUCUCAAAAAGCCAUUCUCAGUUCGGAUUGGAGUCUGCAACUCGACUCCAUGAAGUCGGAAUCGCUAGUAAUCGCGAAUCAGCAUGUCGCGGUGAAUGCGUUCCCGGGCCUU
This 424-nucleotide ribosomal RNA is filed under the name uncultured Syntrophomonas sp. Its description in RNAcentral is "bacterial SSU rRNA". It matches the Rfam family "Bacterial small subunit ribosomal RNA", at positions 956 to 1382 of the family's 1533-position model. Lineage: Bacteria; Bacillati; Bacillota; Clostridia; Eubacteriales; Syntrophomonadaceae. The record is from RNAcentral.